CUGAUUGAAUGUGUGUUUAUAGAUCAACUAUGUUUAGAUGGGCUUUGAUUUCCCUGUGUUGCAUAGCACAUUAUGAUGCGUCCUCAGCACAGGACAGGAUUGAACAGACUUCAAGAGAAAUGACUGAAAGUGAAGGAGCUCAAGUUAUUUUAAUGUGUGUGAGUUUUGGAGAUGAAAUCACAGCAGACAGCACUGAGGAAUCUGCUGCAGUGGGUUCAACUGUUACUUUAUCCUGCAGUUAUUCCUCUGCACAAUCACUUCAAUGGUACCGUCAGUAUCCCGGAUCAGCUCCUCAAUUUCUUGUGCUUAUAAUAGAGAGUGUGAAAGAGACUAAGACAUCUGAUGUAGAUCCCAGAUUCUUCACUAAGCUCCGAAAAGAAAAACAAGAUACAAAAGAAAUCAAACAUGUGGAUCUGAUCAUCUUCUCUGCUGCUGUAUCAGACUCUGCUCUGUACUACUGUGCUCUGAGGUCCACAGUCACAGGAAACACAAGAACACUGUACAAAAACCUGACACAGAUGAAGGUGUAA
Molecule: non-coding RNA, 530 nt
Organism: Sinocyclocheilus grahami
Lineage: Eukaryota; Metazoa; Chordata; Actinopteri; Cypriniformes; Cyprinidae
Source: the annotation of a RefSeq genome assembly